UUCAAAAUGACUCUCGGCAACGGAUAUCUCGGCUCUUGCAUCGAUGAAGAACGUAGCGAAAUGCGAUACUUGGUGUGAAUUGCAGAAUCCCGUGAACCAUCGAGUCUUUGAACGCAAGUUGCGCCCGAAGCCAUUAGGUUGAGGGCACGCCUGCCUGGGUGUCACACA
Molecule: ribosomal RNA, 168 nt
Filed under: Indigofera conzattii
Lineage: Eukaryota; Viridiplantae; Streptophyta; Magnoliopsida; Fabales; Fabaceae
Also listed under: 1 other name
Description: 5.8S ribosomal RNA
Rfam family: 5.8S ribosomal RNA
About the family: 5.8S ribosomal RNA (5.8S rRNA) is a component of the large subunit of the eukaryotic ribosome. It is transcribed by RNA polymerase I as part of the 45S precursor that also contains 18S and 28S rRNA.
Source: RNAcentral